UGUUUAUUGAAAAACAUAUAAUAGAUAAUCCCUGCCCAAUGAAGUAAAUUUAAAUGGCCGCGGUAUCCUAACCGUGCUAAGGUAGCAUAAUCAUUUGUCUAUUAAUUGUAGACUAGAAUAAAUGGGUAAACGAAAUAAUAGCUGUUUCAUCAUAUUAUAUAAAAAUUAACCUAUAAGUGAAGAUGCUUAUAUCCCAUUAAAGGACAAGAAGACCCUAUAGAGCUUUAUCACAAUAUUUAUACAAUAAAUAUUAUGAUUUGGUUGGGGCGACCAAGGAUAAAUCAUCCUUUAAACUUAAGAUUUAUUAAUCACUCAAACGAGCUUAAUAGUUAAACUCUGAAAUUUAGUUACCUUAGGGAUAACAGGCUAAUCUUAUUUAAGAGUUCCUAUCUCAAAUAAGGAUUGGCACCUCGAUGUUGGCUUAGAUUAACUUUUUGAUGCAGAAAUCAAUAAAGUGAGGUUUGUUCAACCUAUAAAUAUCU
This 482-nucleotide ribosomal RNA is filed under the name Achaeta unibulba. RNAcentral's name for it is "partial 16S ribosomal RNA". It matches the Rfam family "Bacterial large subunit ribosomal RNA", at positions 1816 to 2597 of the family's 2925-position model. Lineage: Eukaryota; Metazoa; Annelida; Clitellata; Enchytraeida; Enchytraeidae. The record is from RNAcentral.